UAGUCCACGCCCUAAACCAUGUCAACUGGGUGUUCGGGAAGCGAUUUCUGAGUACCGUAGCUAACGCGUGAAGUUGACCGCCUGGGGAGUACGGCCGCAAGGUUAAAACUCAAAGGAAUUGACGGGGACCCGCACAAGCGGUGGAUGAUGUGGAUUAAUUCGAUGCAACGCGAACAACCUUACCUACCCUUGACAUGUCCGAGAGCCUGCUGAGAGGCGGGUGUGCCCGAAAGGGAAUCGGAACAC
RNAcentral lists this ribosomal RNA (246 nucleotides) under uncultured bacterium. RNAcentral describes it as "partial 16S ribosomal RNA". It matches the Rfam family "Bacterial small subunit ribosomal RNA", at positions 791 to 1035 of the family's 1533-position model. The record is from RNAcentral.